UCAGUCGACUCCUACGGGGAGGCAGCAGUGGGGAAUAUUGCACAAUGGGGGAAACCCUGAUGCAGCCAUGCCGCGUGUGUGAAGAAGGCCUUCGGGUUGUAAAGCACUUUCAGUAGGGAGGAAGGUAGUGUAGUUAACACCUGCAUUAUUUGACGUUACCUACAGAAGAAGCACCGGCUAACUCCGUGCCAGCAGCCGCGGUAAUACGGAGGGUGCGAGCGUUAAUCGGAAUUACUGGGCGUAAAGCGCAUGCAGGCGGCCUGUUAAGUCAGAUGUGAAAGGCCCGGGGACGUUAACCUACGGUAAAUUGCAUUUAGUAAACUAGGCGAGGCUAGAGUCUUGUAGAGGGGGUAGGAAUUUCAGGUGUAGCGGUGAAAUGCGUAGAGAUCUGAAGGAAUACCAGUGGCGAAGGCGGCCCCCUGGACAAAGACUGACGCUCAGAUGCGAAAGCGUGGGGAGCAAACAGGAUUAGAUACCCUGGUAG
This 484-nucleotide ribosomal RNA is filed under the name uncultured bacterium. RNAcentral describes it as "bacterial SSU rRNA". It matches the Rfam family "Bacterial small subunit ribosomal RNA", at positions 328 to 793 of the family's 1533-position model. The record is from RNAcentral.